RNAcentral lists this non-coding RNA (253 nucleotides) under uncultured bacterium. RNAcentral's name for it is "partial 16S ribosomal RNA". It matches the Rfam family "Bacterial small subunit ribosomal RNA", at positions 524 to 776 of the family's 1533-position model. RNAcentral also lists the same sequence under 1 other name. The record is from RNAcentral.
UACGUAGGAUGCGAGCGUUGUCCGGAUUUACUGGGCGUAAAGGGCGUGUAGGCGGUCUGUCAAGUCUCAUGUGAAAUCUCCCGGCUCAACUGGGAGGGGUCAUGGGAAACUGGCAGGCUUGAGGACAGUAGAGGAAAGCGGAAUUCCCGGAGUAGCGGUGAAAUGCGUAGAUACCGGGAGGAACACCAGAGGCGAAAGCGGCUUUCUAGACUGUAUCUGACGCUGAGGCGCGAAAGCAUGGGGAGCGAACCGG